Non-coding RNA from Papaver somniferum (opium poppy), 73 nucleotides. NCBI's taxonomy places the organism in Eukaryota, Viridiplantae, Streptophyta, Magnoliopsida, Ranunculales, Papaveraceae. The record is from the annotation of a RefSeq genome assembly.
GGGGGUGUAGUUCAUUUGGUAGAAAGCUCGCUUAGCAUGCGAAAGGUCCGGGGUUCGAAUCCCCGCACCUCCA